This is a non-coding RNA of Pseudopodoces humilis (Tibetan ground-tit), 441 nucleotides long. The record is from the annotation of a RefSeq genome assembly. Lineage: Eukaryota; Metazoa; Chordata; Aves; Passeriformes; Paridae.
AUGAAUGGAUGGUGGAGAAGAUUUGGGGCCGGGGGAGCGGCCGUGACCCUGCUGGAGUCCGGGGGGGACCUCCAGCCCCCCGGGGGGUCCCUGCGCCUCCUCUGCCGAGGGCAAGGAUUCGACAUCGGGAAAUUCGGGAUGUUCUGGAUCCGCCAGAGACCCGGGAAGGCGCUGGAAUUCGUGGCCAGCGUCAACAGGAGGAACGGCGAGACGUUCUACGCGCCGUCCGUGCGUGGCCGGUUCACGAUGGGCAGCGACAACGGGCAGAGCUCGGUGACGCUGAGCAUGAACAACCUCCAGGACGAGGAUUCCGGGGUUUAUUUCUGCGCCAGGCGCUUGGAUGAUUACGCCGAUGCCAAUUCCCAAAUCCUGCCCCGAUCCGUGUCCAAAACCCUCGCCCGCGGCGAGAGACUUCUCCAGGGUGGAGCUGUUCAGGUCUGA